AGUGAACGCUGGCGGUAGGCCUAACACAUGCAAGUCGAACGGCAGCACAGUAAGAGCUUGCUCUUACGGGUGGCGAGUGGCGGACGGGUGAGGAAUACAUCGGAAUCUACUUUUUCGUGGGGGAUAACGUAGGGAAACUUACGCUAAUACCGCAUACGACCUACGGGUGAAAGCAGGGGAUCUUCGGACCUUGCGCGAUUGAAUGAGCCGAUGUCGGAUUAGCUAGUUGGCGGGGUAAAGGCCCACCAAGGCGACGAUCCGUAGCUGGUCUGAGAGGAUGGACACCCACAUGGGCACCGAACACGGGCCCGACCCACUCGGGGGGGCGCCGUGGGGGAAUUUUGAAAAAUGGGGCAAGGCCGUCCCCCCCCUACCCGGGGGGGUGAAAGAGGCUUUCGGUUUUAAAACCCUUUUUUUGGGGAAAAAAAAACAACCGUUUAACACCCCGGUUUCCGGAGCGUCCCAAAAAAAAAAACCCCGGCAAACUUCGUC
Molecule: ribosomal RNA, 492 nt
Filed under: uncultured bacterium
Lineage: Bacteria
Description: partial 16S ribosomal RNA
Rfam family: Bacterial small subunit ribosomal RNA
Source: RNAcentral